CGCUGGCGGCGUGCCUAACACAUGCAAGUCGAGCGGGACGAUACGACGGAAGUGAAGUUUCGGAUGGAGCGGAAGAUGCAUGUUCUAGCGGCGGACGGGUGAGUAACGCGUGAGCAACCUGUCCCUUACAGGGGGAUAACACAGCGAAAGUUGUACUAAUACCGCAUAAGACCACGGGGAGACAUCUUUCAGGGGUCAAAGGAGCAAUCCGGUAAGGGGUGGGCUCGCGUCCGAUUAGAUAGUUGGUGAGGUAACGGCCCACCAAGUCGACGAUCGGUAGCCGACCUGAGAGGGUGAUCGGCCACAUUGGGACUGAGACACGGCCCAAACUCCUACGGGAGGCAGCAGUGGGGAAUAUUGGGCAAUGGGGGGAACCCUGACCCAGCAACGCCGCGUGAGGGAAGAAGGUUUUCGGAUCGUAAACCUCUGUCCUUGGUGAAGAGUGAGAGACGGUAGCCAAGGAGGAAGCCCCGGCUAACUACGUGCCAGCAGCAGC
This 496-nucleotide ribosomal RNA is filed under the name uncultured bacterium. Its description in RNAcentral is "bacterial SSU rRNA". It matches the Rfam family "Bacterial small subunit ribosomal RNA", at positions 34 to 518 of the family's 1533-position model. The record is from RNAcentral.